GCCUAGCCGUAACACACAAUUAAACUACCAAUUGUCCGCCAAACAACUACGAGCCAUACUUGAAACUUAAAAGACUUGACGGUACUUCAUCACGGCCUAGAGGAGCCUGUCUAAUAACCGACAACCCACGAUUAACCCAACCCCUUCUUGCCCAACAGUCUAUAUACCGCCGUCGCCAGCUUACCUUGUAAAAGAAAUAAAGUGAGCUAAAUAGUACAACACUAAAACGACAGGUCGAGGUGUAACUUAUGAGGGGGUCAAGAUGGGCUACAUUCUCCAACCGAGAAUACGCAUAACACUAUGAAACUAGUGUUUGAAGGCGGAUUUAACAGUAAGAUAAGAAUAAAAUACUUAACUGAACACAACGCAAUGAAGUGCGUAACACACCGCCCGUCAUCCCUGCCACCAC
RNAcentral lists this ribosomal RNA (409 nucleotides) under Gloydius strauchi (Strauch's pitviper). Its description in RNAcentral is "partial 12S small subunit ribosomal RNA". The record is from RNAcentral. Lineage: Eukaryota; Metazoa; Chordata; Lepidosauria; Squamata; Viperidae.